This 492-nucleotide ribosomal RNA is filed under the name uncultured bacterium. Its description in RNAcentral is "partial 16S ribosomal RNA". It matches the Rfam family "Bacterial small subunit ribosomal RNA", at positions 29 to 507 of the family's 1533-position model. The record is from RNAcentral.
AGUGAACGCUGGCGGUAGGCCUAACACAUGCAAGUCGAACGGCAGCACAGUAAGAGCUUGCUCUUACGGGUGGCGAGUGGCGGACGGGUGAGGAAUACAUCGGAAUCUACUUUUUCGUGGGGGAUAACGUAGGGAAACUUACGCCAAUACCGCAUACGACCUACGGGUGAAAGCAGGGGAUCUUCGGACCUUGCGCGAUUGAAUGAGCCGAUGUCGGAUUAGCUAGUUGGCGGGGUAAAGGCCCACCAAGGCGACGAUCCGUAGCUGGUCUGAGAGGAUGAUCAGCCACACUGGAACUGAGACACGGUCCAGACUCCUCCGGGAGGCAGCAGUGGGGAAUAUUGGACAAUGGGCGCAAGCCUGAUCCAGCCAUACCGCGUGGGUGAAGAAGGCCUUCGGGUUGUAAAGCCCUUUUGUUGGGAAAGAAAAGCAGCAGGUUAAUACCCCGCUGUUCUGACGGUACCCAAAGAAUAAGCACCGGCUAACUUCGUG